AGUCGGCCCAAUAUAGGUCAAUGACGAUUUUCAAUAGGUUAAGGAAUGAGAAACCCAGGAGACACGAAGAACAGAAUGCAGGGGUAUAUAGGAUACCAGUGGAAAUAGUUGAACCCAAAGAAAAAACAGCCUAUAUCGGUGUCACUAGUAGAAAUUUAGGGGAAAGGUUGUAAGAACACAGGAGAGAUAUUAGUAAAGGCAAUCUUAACACAGCGCUUGCCAUGGAAGUUUACGCUAAAGAUAUAAAAGUACAUUGGGAUGAAGCAAAAAUAAUAAAACCAGUGGUGAGGAAGUCCCAGACCAUGCUGACAGAAGCCAUAGAAAUAAUUAAAGAAAAGAAAAAACAUAAAACACUUAAUGAGAACACGACAGUCGAAGUAACACCUCCAUGGAUGUACCUACUUAAUAUACAGAAUGGUAGGAGCAAGGAAUGACAGCACAUGGCAACAUUGACAAAGACAUAGGGAACUACAUUUAAACGUAUGAAGAUCCGAUUGUAUAGAAGUACGGACUAUUUAAAGGAAUUUUUCCGUCUCAAAAAAAUGAACUUUAUAACAUUUUAGGUGUAUUUUUAUAUUUAUAUUAUAUUAAAAUACAUUUAUACUAUAUUUCUAUUUAUGACAUGCAUUUUGACAACAAC
This 640-nucleotide long non-coding RNA is filed under the name Androctonus crassicauda. Lineage: Eukaryota; Metazoa; Arthropoda; Arachnida; Scorpiones; Buthidae. The record is from RNAcentral.